Molecule: ribosomal RNA, 459 nt
Filed under: uncultured bacterium
Lineage: Bacteria
Description: partial 16S ribosomal RNA
Rfam family: Bacterial small subunit ribosomal RNA
Source: RNAcentral
CUACGGGUGGCUGCAGUAAGGAAUAUUGGGCAAUGGACGCAAGUCUGACCCAGCCAUGCCGCGUGAAGGAUGAAGGCCCUCUGGGUUGUAAACUUCUUUUAUCUGGGGCGAAAGGCGGUUAUUCUUAGCCGUUUGACAGUACCAGAGGAAUAAGCACCGGCUAACUCCGUGCCAGCAGCCGCGGUAAUACGGAGGGUGCAAGCGUUAUCCGGAUUCACUGGGUUUAAAGGGUGCGUAGGAGGAUCUGUAAGUCAGAGGUGAAAUCCCCGAGCUUAACUUGGGAACUGCCUUUGAUACUAUAGAUCUUGAAUAUCGUGGAGGUAAGCGGAAUAUGUCAUGUAGCGGUGAAAUGCAUAGAGAUGACAUAGAACACCAAUUGCGAAGGCAGCUUGCUACACGAUGAUUGACACUGAGGCACGAAAGCGUGGGGAGCAAACAGGAUUAGAUACCCCGGUAGUC